This 848-nucleotide ribosomal RNA is filed under the name uncultured Gammaproteobacteria bacterium. Its description in RNAcentral is "bacterial SSU rRNA". It matches the Rfam family "Bacterial small subunit ribosomal RNA", at positions 35 to 880 of the family's 1533-position model. The record is from RNAcentral. Lineage: Bacteria; Pseudomonadati; Pseudomonadota; Gammaproteobacteria.
GCUGGCGGCAGCCCUUAUACAUGCAAGUCGAACGAGAAAGCUUCUUCGGAAGUGAGUAAAGUGGCGGACGGGUGAGUAACGCGUAGGAAUCUACCUUUCAGUGGGGGAUAGCUCGGGGAAACUCGAAUUAAUACCGCAUAUACCCUUAGGGGGAAAGGGGGCCUCUCCUUGGAAGCUCUCGCUGUUAGAUGAGCCUGCGUGAGAUUAGCUUGUUGGUAAGGUAAUGGCUUACCAAGGCUACGAUCUCUAGCUGGUCUGAGAGGACGAUCAGCCACACUGGGACUGAGACACGGCCCAGACUCCUACGGGAGGCAGCAGUAGGGAAUAUUGGACAAUGGGGGAAACCCUGAUCCAGGCAUGCCGCGUGUGUGAAGAAGGCCUUAGGGUUGUAAAGCACUUUAAGUGAGGAAGAAAAGAUUCAAAUUAAUACUUUGAAUCCCUGACAUUACUCACAGAAUAAGGACCGGCUAACUCCGUGCCAGCAGCCGCGGUAAUACGGAGGGUCCAAGCGUUAAUCGGAAUUACUGGGCGUAAAGCGCGCGUAGAUGGUUUAUCUAGUUGGGUGUGAAAUCCCUGGGCUCAACCCAGGAACUGCAUUCAAAACUUAUAAACUAGAGUACGAAAGAGGAGAGCAGAAUUCAUGGUGUAGCGGUGAAAUGCGUAGAUAUCAUGAGGAAUACCAGUGGCGAAGGCGGCUCUCUGGUUCGAGACUGACAUUGAGGUGCGAAAGCGUGGGUAGCAAACAGGAUUAGAUACCCUGGUAGUCCACGCCGUAAACGAUGAGAACUAGCCGUUGGAUCUUUAGAUUCAGUGGCGCAGCUAACGCAUUAAGUUCUCCGCCUGGGGAG